CCUACGGGUGGCAGCAGUGGGGAAUAUUGGACAAUGGGGGGAACCCUGAUCCAGCCAUGCCGCGUGUGUGAAGAAGGCCCUCGGGUUGUAAAGCACUUUCAGUGAGGAAGAACGCCUGGUGGUUAAUACCCAUCAGGAAAGACAUCACUCACAGAAGAAGCACCGGCUAACUCCGUGCCAGCAGCCGCGGUAAUACGGAGGGUGCGAGCGUUAAUCGGAAUUACUGGGCGUAAAGCGCGCGUAGGUGGCUUGAUAAGCCGGUUGUGAAAGCCCCGGGCUCAACCUGGGAACGGCAUCCGGAACUGUCAAGCUAGAGUGCAGGAGAGGAAGGUAGAAUUCCCGGUGUAGCGGUGAAAUGCGUAGAGAGCGGGAGGAAUACCAGUGGCGAAGGCGGCCUUCAGGACUGACACUGACACUGAGGUGCGAAAGCGUGGGUAGCAAACAGGAUUAGAUACCCUGGUAGUC
Molecule: ribosomal RNA, 465 nt
Filed under: Vreelandella stevensii
Lineage: Bacteria; Pseudomonadati; Pseudomonadota; Gammaproteobacteria; Oceanospirillales; Halomonadaceae
Description: partial 16S ribosomal RNA
Rfam family: Bacterial small subunit ribosomal RNA
Source: RNAcentral